Molecule: regulatory RNA element, 77 nt
Organism: Halorubrum vacuolatum
Lineage: Archaea; Methanobacteriati; Methanobacteriota; Halobacteria; Halobacteriales; Haloferacaceae
Rfam family: eL15-Euryarchaeota ribosomal protein leader
Source: Rfam
CCGGGGAGUGGCGUGGGUCGAUCCAUCCGCCCCCGGGACGAGACGAAAUGUGGCCGCAUGCGCGGCUGAAUCGCAAC